Molecule: non-coding RNA, 116 nt
Organism: Paramuricea clavata
Lineage: Eukaryota; Metazoa; Cnidaria; Anthozoa; Malacalcyonacea; Plexauridae
Source: the annotation of a GenBank genome assembly
ACAAUAUUUUGCUGCCCAUAUUGUUCCUGGUUGUUAACAUUAAUAUUGUUCAGGCUGAACAAUGCUAAACAAUAUUGUUAACAACCAGGCACAAUAUGGGCAGCAAAAUAUUGUUC